UACAGAGGGGGCAAGCGUUGUUCGGAAUUAUUGGGCGUAAAGGGCGCGUAGGCGGUCGGAUAAGUCUUGUGUGAAAUCUUCGGGCUCAACUCGAAGUCUGCACGAGAAACUGUCUGGCUUGAGUGUGGGAGAGGUGAGUGGAAUUCCUGGUGUAGCGGUGAAAUGCGUAGAUAUCAGGAGGAACACCUGUGGCGAAAGCGGCUCACUGGACCACAACUGACGCUGAGGCGCGAAAGCUAGGGGAGCAAACAGG
RNAcentral lists this ribosomal RNA (253 nucleotides) under uncultured bacterium. RNAcentral describes it as "partial 16S ribosomal RNA". It matches the Rfam family "Bacterial small subunit ribosomal RNA", at positions 524 to 776 of the family's 1533-position model. The record is from RNAcentral.